This 135-nucleotide small RNA is filed under the name Arabidopsis thaliana (thale cress). Its description in RNAcentral is "ATSL281710". Lineage: Eukaryota; Viridiplantae; Streptophyta; Magnoliopsida; Brassicales; Brassicaceae. The record is from RNAcentral.
GCUAUUAAUGGAUGAUACGAAUUAAGCGAUUAGACCAUUUUAUUUUUAGAGCGAACAAUAAAUUCUGUAGACCAAAUUCACUUUUACGUAAAAAAGAUAUAUCGUUAGUCCAUUGUAGACGGAUUCUAUUUUUAU